ACAUACCCCUUUGAAGUAGAGAAACCAUAGUUAUCCUCUCUAUUCUGCUACCAUCGCCCAUAUAAUAGUAUUGCUCUACUCUCUAUUCCCCUAUUAUUACCCAUUGUUAUCUUACCUUUAAUAUUGUUCUUAUUCAAUUCUACCAUCUUUCCUAUUUACACCUAUUUACUUAUCUUGGUUAAGUUAGAGCGUAGAUCAGUUCUCCCGUUUCCCUAUGGAUACGAUAAAACCUUUAACCGG
Molecule: long non-coding RNA, 240 nt
Filed under: Sorghum bicolor (sorghum)
Lineage: Eukaryota; Viridiplantae; Streptophyta; Magnoliopsida; Poales; Poaceae
Description: long non-coding RNA (SBIC_LNC010207)
Source: RNAcentral